GUUAUUUGUUUUACAAGGGGGCACAGUUGUUAUUCCAAAAUUGAAUUGGUUCGAGAAGUGGAAUCUUGAGCGUUGCGAGGGUUUCAAGGCACGAGGGUUAAACAAAUUUUGCCACCGAGUGAAACACAACAUUUUUCACCACACCAAC
Molecule: long non-coding RNA, 148 nt
Organism: Cydia splendana
Lineage: Eukaryota; Metazoa; Arthropoda; Insecta; Lepidoptera; Tortricidae
Exons: 2
Source: RefSeq, a predicted model, not a curated record